GGAUGCGAUCAUACCAGCACUAAAGCACCGGAUCCCAUCAGAACUCUGAAGUUAAGCAUGCUUGGGCGAGAGUAGUACUAGGAUGGGUGACCUCCUGGGAAGUCCUCGUGUUGAAUUCC
Molecule: ribosomal RNA, 119 nt
Filed under: Triticum aestivum (bread wheat)
Lineage: Eukaryota; Viridiplantae; Streptophyta; Magnoliopsida; Poales; Poaceae
Also listed under: 1 other name
Source: RNAcentral